Molecule: long non-coding RNA, 1689 nt
Organism: Gossypium arboreum
Lineage: Eukaryota; Viridiplantae; Streptophyta; Magnoliopsida; Malvales; Malvaceae
Exons: 3
Source: RefSeq, a predicted model, not a curated record
CAUGAAAUGUGCUCUCUGAUAUGAAAUGUGUAAGACCAUGGUUGAAAGAUACCAUGGCAACGUGAUAUGAAAUGAAUAAGACCAUGGUUGAAAGAUACCAUGGCAACUUGACAUAAAAUGAGUAAGACCAUGGUUGAAAGAUACCAUGGCAACAUGACGGGAAAAUGAACAAGACAAUGGUUGAAAGAUACCAUGGCAACAUGACAGAAAACAAGUAAAAUUAUAGUUGAAAGAUACUAUGACAUCAUGUCGAAGAUAAAUAAGAUCAAGGAAGAGAAACGCCAAGAUAUCUAUUGAACAAUCGAUAUUCAGGUAAUAUGUAUCAGAUGGAAUGGUUAUAUGAAAUGGUUGUGUGAAAUGUUUACAGGAAUUGGUCAUAUGGAAAUAUAUGUACAAAAUAGUUAUAUGAAAUAAUUAAGAAGAUAGAUAAAUGAAAUAAGUAUAGGUACAUGAAAUUUAAUUUAUGUUAAGUUUAAUACUGAACUAUUACCGAAAUAAAUAUUUACAAGAUAUAAGGAAAUGAUGGUGCAUGAAAUAUUGAUAUAACGAAAUGAAUGAUAUAUGCUUAUGAAGAAACAGUAAGAGAAUAAUAUAUUUUGUGACAUGUACAUAUAUAAUUAUCUUUGAUAUGUUGAUACAAGGAAAUUAUGUAAGUUAAGACUAUUAUUAAACUCAAGUGUGAUAUGUUGAGAAAAUAGGUAUAUCAAUGUUGAAUUUAUAUGAAAUAUGUGCAAGUAUACUAAUAAUGUUGUUUGACGCUUAGACAAGUGUCAAGUUAUUGAUUGAAUGGUAACAUGUUUAAUUAUAAGAAGCAUUGAAACGGUAAGUACUUAGAUGAAAAUAUAAUUUAAGAUUUUGCGAAAUUUUUUAUGAUCUCGAUUUUAUUCCAGUUGGUUUCUAAUGUAUGUUUUGGGCUUCGAGGGCCCAAUAGAGAGACGUUAUGAUUAUUUCAAAAUAUGAAUAAUAAAUGACUCAAAAUUAUCUAAAAAUGUUCAGUAAACUUCGGUAAUGCCUUGUACCCUAUUCCGGCAAUGAAUACGGGUAGGGGGUGUUACAGUACCCUUUUACACCUAAAGUUGACAAACGUGGACAUGUAAUUCCAGGAAAAACGCCAGAUCAUAUUGCAACUUUUGUAGGAAGUUGUAAAAUCCAUAGUUUGCUGUAAAAUUUUUUAGAUUCGGCCUGUAUUAAAUUACUUCUAGGAUUUAGUAAAGAAUUCUGUAAUAGUUUAUAGGCACUAUGUACAAAGAACUCUCCCGACUGUUUUCCUUUCCAAACUUGAAAAUCCUCAUGACUAGUUCCUGCAAUAGAGAUCUGCAAUAUUUUGUGAGCUACCUCGUUAUUAAAGGAUCCAACAAUCAUUCCAAAUGGAAAUAUCCCUCCCAUUGCCCACUCUUCAGCAUAAUCCAUCUUGAAGAAGUCCAUUUGCCGCCCAAAUGCUCUUCCAGGGUUUUCGGCAGUAGGAAACAUGCUAUCGUGUAAGUUGGAAUCGCCCGAAGGAUGACUUUAAUAAAGACUUCUUUUCCUUCUUGAGAUAGGUAUUUAUUACUCCAGUUGUCAAUACGCAAUUUAAUACGAUAUUUUAAAUUUUGGAAAGACUCAUUCUUCCUCCUACCCACCAUAUUUGGCAAACCAAGGUAGCGUUCUGGUUCCUUCGAGCAUCAAAUUGUCAAUAGACUAGCUAUUUAA